UACGUAGGGGGCAAGCGUUGUCCGGAUUUAUUGGGCGUAAAAGGCUUGUAGGUGGCCACGCCAAGUCGGAUGUGAAAUCUCCCGGCUCAACUGGGAGGGGUCAUUCGAUACUGGCGGGCUCGAGGCCGGUAGGGGGAAGUGGAAUUCCCGGUGUAGUGGUGAAAUGCGCAGAUAUCGGGAAGAACACCCGUGGCGAAGGCGGCACUCUGGGACGGUACUGACGCUGAGACGCGAAAGCGUGGGGAGCGAACAGG
This 254-nucleotide ribosomal RNA is filed under the name uncultured bacterium. RNAcentral describes it as "partial 16S ribosomal RNA". It matches the Rfam family "Bacterial small subunit ribosomal RNA", at positions 524 to 776 of the family's 1533-position model. The record is from RNAcentral.